Molecule: ribosomal RNA, 107 nt
Filed under: Citrobacter farmeri
Lineage: Bacteria; Pseudomonadati; Pseudomonadota; Gammaproteobacteria; Enterobacterales; Enterobacteriaceae
Description: partial 23S ribosomal RNA
Rfam family: Bacterial large subunit ribosomal RNA
Source: RNAcentral
AAAGGGUCCUGAAGGAACGUUGAAGACGACGACGUUGAUAGGCCGGGUGUGUAAGCGCAGCGAUGCGUUGAGCUAACCGGUACUAAUGAACCGUGAGGCUUAACCUU